UACGUAGGGGGCAAGCGUUGUCCGGAAUCAUUGGGCGUAAAGCGCGUGUAGGCGGUCCGGUAAGUCGGCUGUGAAAGUCCAGGGCUCAACCCUGGGAUGCCGGUCGAUACUGCCGGACUAGAGUUCGGAAGAGGCGAGUGGAAUUCCAGGUGUAGCGGUGAAAUGCGUAGAUAUCUGGAGGAACACCGGUGGCGAAGGCGGCAUCCUGGACCGGUAUUGACGCUGAGGCGCGAAAGCUAGGGGAGCAAACGGG
Molecule: ribosomal RNA, 253 nt
Filed under: uncultured bacterium
Lineage: Bacteria
Description: partial 16S ribosomal RNA
Rfam family: Bacterial small subunit ribosomal RNA
Source: RNAcentral